AGAGUUUGAUCCUGGCUCAGGACGAACGCUGGCGGCGUGCCUAAUACAUGCAAGUCGAACGCUUUUUUCAAUCAUCGUAGCUUGCUACACCGAUUGAAAAUUGAGUGGCGAACGGGUGAGUAACACGUGGGUAACCUGCCCAAAAGAGGGGGAUAACACUUGGAAACAGGUGCUAAUACCGCAUAACCAUGAUGACCGCAUGGUCAUUAUGUAAAAGAUGGUUUCGGCUAUCACUUUUGGAUGGACCCGCGGCGUAUUAACUUGUUGGUGGGGUAACGGCCUACCAAGGUAAUGAUACGUAGCCGAACUGAGAGGUUGAUCGGCCACAUUGGGACUGAGACACGGCCCAAACUCCUACGGGAGGCAGCAGUAGGGAAUCUUCCACAAUGGGCGCAAGCCUGAUGGAGCAACGCCGCGUGAGUGAAGAAGGUCUUCGGAUCGUAAAACUCUGUUGUUAGAGAAGAACAUGCAGGAGAGUAACUGUUCUUGUAUUGACGGUAUCUAACCAGAAAGCCACGGCUAACUACGUGCCAGCAGCCGCGGUAAUACGUAGGCGGCAAGCGUUGUCCGGAUUUAUUGGGCGUAAAGGGAACGCAGGCGGUCCUUUAAGUCUGAUGUGAAAGCCUUCGGCUUAACCGAAGAAUUGCAUUGGAAACUGGAGGACUUGAGUGCAGAAGAGGAGAGUGGAACUCCAUGUGUAGCGGUGAAAUGCGUAGAUAUAUGGAAGAACACCAGUGGCGAAAGCGGCUCUCUGGUCUGUAACUGACGCUGAGGUUCGAAAGUGUGGGUAGCAAACAGGAUUAGAUACCCUGGUAGUCCAUGCCGUAAACGAUGA
This 835-nucleotide ribosomal RNA is filed under the name uncultured bacterium. RNAcentral's name for it is "bacterial SSU rRNA". It matches the Rfam family "Bacterial small subunit ribosomal RNA", at positions 8 to 812 of the family's 1533-position model. The record is from RNAcentral.